UAGUACCGUGGAGGAAAGUUGAAAAGAACUUUGAAGAGAGAGUUCAAGAGUACGUGAAACCGUUCAGGGGUAAACCUGAGAAACCCAAAAGAUCGAAUGGGGAGAUUCAUCGUCAGCCGCUUUGGCUUCCGUGUGGUGCGCGAUGAUCAGGAUCUCGGUUCUGUGUCACGCGCCCGCUGCGGUACGUCCGAGGUGGUCGGCGUGCACUUCUCCCCUAGUAGGACGUCGCGACCCGUUGGGUGCCGGCCUACGGCCCGGUCGGUCGACUGUCGCGUCGCGUUCACGCGCGCACGCGUCAGACCACUGGUUGCCUGGCCUGCUGCUCGGCGGUAUAGAAUUGUCAUAUAACGGUAUUGAGCCGCAUUGAAGUGCGUUCAGGCUCGUCGGCCGGCUCGCCUCGCUCGGAUUUACGGACCUAGCGCCGUUGCCGGGUGCUUGGCGCUGCUGUUAGUCGGCGAUGUCCUCGGACUGGCUCGUAUUAUAUUCGAACGGAUAUACCGGUCGGCGACGCUACUGCUUUGGGUACUUUCAGGACCCGUCUUGAAAACCGGACCAAA
Molecule: ribosomal RNA, 557 nt
Filed under: Coccophagus lycimnia
Lineage: Eukaryota; Metazoa; Arthropoda; Insecta; Hymenoptera; Aphelinidae
Description: partial large subunit ribosomal RNA
Rfam family: Eukaryotic large subunit ribosomal RNA
Source: RNAcentral